UACCGUCUGUGGAACAUGGAAUCAAACCAGAAUAUGUUGGCAUAACAGGCCAGUCAAACCGGUUCUUCUGUAGAUCCAGAACCCGUCCAACCAGUCUGCAUCAAAGGCUAGCCCAACAAGCUGCAGCGGCUCAGCUCUGCUAAACUUGUACUGGGUAAGAUGGAGGAAGCACAUUUCAUCUUGUCUCUCCCACUGAAUAUAGCUAUAAAACCUGGACAAAAUACAUGGAGCAGAUAUUUCAGGACUCUGAACAGGAAAUGGUAUUAAGCAGAUGACAGAAGAAAAGGAGUUAAAACACCACCAAAUAGGGCAAGGCACUGACUUGAGGAUCACGGAGGUUAAGAAGGAGGAGGAAGGAACAGAUGCUUAUCUCAAGAAGCUAGCAGCCUGGUUAGGAAUCUAAGAUAAUUUGGCGUUUCCAUUCAAGAUAUUAAAAAGUCUGGAGACAGCAAGCUUUCAUCUUCUGUGCCUCAUCCAUAUAGAGUGCUUGGGUUACUUUAUUAGAAUGAGCAACAGUUUAUGGGAGCCAGACAGAAAGACUGUGAUUUACUUCAAUUCUCUCCCAAGGAUCAGUGCAAAAAUUCAUGUGGACGAUUGACUGUUAAAAAACGUUUUAGACAUAUUUUUGUGGUUUGAGUUUGUGUUCAUCUAUAAGAUUGUUUUAGAGUUAAAUGCUUUGAUGAAAGGACCAUAGAUCUUAAGAAAGAAAAGAACAAUAAGCAAAUUGAUCUAAUUCCUCAUUUUCAAAUACCUAAGGUGUUUUUAUUCCUCAUUUCAUGGACACUAUCCAGAGGUUAAAUAUAUCACCUAAAAUUGCAAGCACAAGAAGGCUAGAUUUCUGGCCUUCUGCCUCCCAGGGGAGACCUGUUCCACCUUAGAACAUCUUGUAGAUGAAAAAAAGUAAACCACAAACAUGCUGUGAGU
Pteropus alecto (black flying fox) is the source of this 924-nucleotide long non-coding RNA. RefSeq lists it as uncharacterized. The record is from RefSeq and is a predicted model, not a curated record. The transcript has 4 exons. Lineage: Eukaryota; Metazoa; Chordata; Mammalia; Chiroptera; Pteropodidae.